RNAcentral lists this ribosomal RNA (253 nucleotides) under uncultured bacterium. RNAcentral describes it as "partial 16S ribosomal RNA". It matches the Rfam family "Bacterial small subunit ribosomal RNA", at positions 524 to 776 of the family's 1533-position model. The record is from RNAcentral.
UACGGAGGGUGCUAGCGUUGUUCGGAAUCACUGGGCGUAAAGGGCGUGUAGGCGGUCUGUUAAGUCUGAUGUGAAAUCCCCUCGCUCAACGAGGGAACUGCGUCGGAUACUGGCAGACUCGAGUACCGGAGAGGAAGGUGGAAUUCCCGGUGUAGCGGUGAAAUGCGUAGAUAUCUGGAGGAAUACCGGUGGCGAAGGCGGCAUCCUGGACCGGCAUUGACGCCGAGGAGCGAAAGCCAGGGGAGCAGACGGG